Molecule: ribosomal RNA, 2003 nt
Filed under: metagenome
Description: bacterial LSU rRNA
Rfam family: Bacterial large subunit ribosomal RNA
Source: RNAcentral
UCAAGCGAACAAGGGCGCAGGGCGAAUGCCUUGGCACUGGGAGCCGAUGAAAGACGUGAUAAGCUGCGAUAAGCUUCGGGGAGCUGCAAAUAAGCAUUGAUCCGGAGAUUUCUGAAUGAGGAAACUCACCUGGGUUCAUACUCAGGUACGUUAUACUGAACUUCAAAAUAGGUAUAUCGGGGGAACCGCCUGAACUGAAACAUCUAAGUAGGGCGAGGAAGAGACAUCAAACGAGAUUCCGUAAGUAGUGGCGAGCGAACGCGGAAGAGGGCAAACCGAGAGUAGAAAUACUUUCGGGGUACGGACUGCUUUUAGGACUCAAUCUGUUAACCGAACGGCAUGGGAAGGCCGGUCAGAGAGUGUGAGAACCACGUAGGUGAAAACGGAGAGAGCUGCGCAGAUUCCAGAGUACGGCCAGACACGUGAAACCUGGUCGGAAGAUGGGGGGACCACCCUCCAACCCUAAAUACUACCCAGUGACCGAUAGCGUAUAGUACUGUGAAGGAAAGGUGAAAAGCACCCCGGGAGGGGAGUGAAAAAGAACCUGAAACCCUGUGCCUACAAGCACCUAGAGCACGUCAAUGUGUGAUAGGGUACUUUUUGUAGAACGGUCCGGCGAGCGAUUGUAUGCAGCAAGGUUAAGGACUUAAGGUCUGGAGCCGAAGCGAAAGCGAGUUUGAAAAGGGCGUUAAGUUGCAUAUAAUGGGCCCGAAACCGGGUGACCUACCCAUGGUCAGGUUGAAGUGGAAGUAAAAUUCCAUGGAGGACCGAACCGACCUCCGUUGAAAAGGCGGCGGAUGAACUGUGGGUAGCGGAGAAAUUCCAAUCGAACCCGGAGAUAGCUGGUUCUCCCCGAAAUAGUUUUAGGACUAGCCUCAAGUUAGAUACCUGGAGGUAAAGCACUGAAUAGCCUAGCGGCCGAGAGGUUAGCGAAGCUUAUCAAACUCAGAAUGCCAGAGUAUUGAUGCUUGGGAGUCAGACAGUGUCAGAUAAAUGUCAUUGUCAAAAGGGAAACAGCCCAGAUCUACAGCUAAGGUCCCAAAGUCAGGUUAAGUGGAAAACGAUGUGAAGAUACGCAGACAACCAGGAUGUUGGCUCAGAAGCAGCCACUCAUUCAAAGAGUGCGUAAUAGCUCACUGGUCGAGCGUCUUUGCGCGGAGAAUUUAACGGGGCUAAACCUGACACCGAAGCUUAGGCAAUGUAGUAAUACAUUGGGUAGGGGAGCGUUGUAUACGCGGUGAAACAGUAGCGCAAGCGGCUGUGGAGUGUAUAGAAGUGAGAAUGCCGGAAUGAGUAGCGCGAAUGCAGUGAGAAUCUGCAUGGCCGAAAGCCUCAGGUUUCUGGAGGAAGGUUCGUCCGCUCCAGGUUAGUCGGGAGCUAAGGUGAGGCCGGAAGGCGUAGCCGAUGCACAGACGGUAGAGAUUCCGUCACCACCAAAAGAGUUAAGCACAGGGACACAUAUGAAGUCUCGGAGCCGGGUGUUGGUUCCGGUAGCGAUCGAGGGAAAUUAGUACCGAAGUCCGGGAUGGAAGAUGGCGAGAAAAGCUGUGUGUAUUUCUGCGGUGCCCGUACCGCAAACCGACACAGGUAGGUAGGAAGAAGAUUCUAAGGCCAACGGGAGAAGGGUUGUUAAGGAACUCGGCAAAUUGACCCCGUAACUUCGGGAGAAGGGGUGCUCCAGAGAUGGAGCCGCAGAGAAUCGGCCCAAGCAACUGUUUACCAAAAACACAGGUUUGUGCUAAAUCGAAAGAUGACGUAUACGAGCUGACGCCUGCCCGGUGCUGGAAGGUUAAGAGGAGAUGUGCAAGCAUUGAAUCGAAGCCCCAGUGAACGGCGGCCGUAACUAUAACGGUCCUAAGGUAGCGAAAUUCCUUGUCAGGUAAGUUCUGACCCGCACGAAUGGCGUAAUGAUUUGGGCACUGUCUCAACAGCCCGCCCGGCGAAAUUGUAGUACUGGUGAAGAUGCCAGUUACCCGCAACUAGACGGAAAGACCCCAUGGAGC